GCGAGGAUGGCGGAAUUGGUAGACGCGCUAGCUUGAGGUGCUAGUGGACGUUGUCUGUAGGGGUUCGAGUCCCCUUCCUCGCA
This 83-nucleotide transfer RNA is filed under the name Myxococcota bacterium. RNAcentral describes it as "tRNA-Leu". It matches the Rfam family "tRNA". Rfam says of the family: Transfer RNA (tRNA) molecules are approximately 80 nucleotides in length. Their secondary structure includes four short double-helical elements and three loops (D, anti-codon, and T loops). Lineage: Bacteria; Pseudomonadati; Myxococcota. The record is from RNAcentral.